GAGGGGUAACAGGGUGCUUGCACCGCUGACGACCGGCGCACGGGUGCGUAACGCGUAUACAACCUACCUCUUGGCGGGGAAUAGCCCAGGGAAACUUGGAUUAAUGCCCCAUGGUAUAUUGGAUUCACCUGAAUUUAAUAUUAAACAUUUAUGGUCAUUAGAUGGGUAUGCGUCCUAUUAGUUAGAUGGUAAGGUAACGGCUUACCAUGGCAUCGAUAGGUAGGGGUCCUGAGAGGGAGGUCCCCCACACUGGUACUGAGACACGGACCAGACUCCUACGGGAGGCAGCAGUGAGGAAUAUUGGACAAUGGGCGAGAGCCUGAUCCAGCCAUGCCGCGUGCAGGAAGACUGCCCUAUGGGUUGUAAACUGCUUUUACAGAGGAAGAACCACCUCCACGUGUGGGGGUUUGACGGUACUCUGCGAAUAAGGAUCGGCUAACUCCGUGCCAGCAGCCGCGGUAAUACGGAGGAUCCAAGCGUUAUCCGGAAUCAUUGGGUUUAAAGGGUCCGUAGGCGGGACAAUCAGUCAGUGGUGAAAGUCUGCAGCUCAACUGUAGAACUGCCAUUGAUACUGUUGUCCUUGAGUUAUUAUGAAGUGGUUAGAAUGUGUAGUGUAGCGGUGAAAUGCUUAGAUAUUACACAGAAUACCGAUUGCGAAGGCAGAUCACUAAUAAUAUACUGACGCUGAUGGACGAAAGCGUAGGUAGCGAACAGGAUUAGAUACCCUGGUAGUCUACGCCGUAAACGAUGGUUACUAGCUGUCCGGCCUAAUUGAGGGCUGGGUGGUUAAGCGAAAGUGAUAAGUAACCCACCUGGGGAGUACGUUCGCAAGAAUGAAACUCAAAGGAAUUGACGGGGGCCCGCACAAGCGGUGGAGCAUGUGGUUUAAUUCGAUGAUACGCGAGGAACCUUACCAGGGCUUAAAUGUAGUCUGACAGGGCUGGAAACAGCUUUUUCUUCGGACAGAUUACAAGGUGCUGCAUGGUUGUCGUCAGCUCGUGCCGUGAGGUGUCAGGUUAAGUCCUAUAACGAGCGCAACCCCUGUGGUUAGUUGCCAGCGAGUCAUGUCGGGAACUCUAGCCAGACUGCCGGUGCAAACCGCGAGGAAGGUGGGGAUGACGUCAAAUCAUCACGGCCCUUACGUCCUGGGCCACACACGUGCUACAAUGGUAGGGACAGAGAGCAGCCACUUUGCGAGAAGGAGCGAAUCUACAAACCCUAUCACAGUUCGGAUCGCAGUCUGCAACUCGACUGCGUGAAGCUGGAAUCGCUAGUAAUCGCAUAUCAGCCAUGAUGCGU
This 1299-nucleotide ribosomal RNA is filed under the name uncultured Salegentibacter sp. RNAcentral describes it as "bacterial SSU rRNA". It matches the Rfam family "Bacterial small subunit ribosomal RNA", at positions 64 to 1362 of the family's 1533-position model. The record is from RNAcentral. Lineage: Bacteria; Pseudomonadati; Bacteroidota; Flavobacteriia; Flavobacteriales; Flavobacteriaceae.